Molecule: long non-coding RNA, 3949 nt
Organism: Ctenopharyngodon idella (grass carp)
Lineage: Eukaryota; Metazoa; Chordata; Actinopteri; Cypriniformes; Xenocyprididae
Exons: 4
Source: RefSeq, a predicted model, not a curated record
GAACCAUUCAUCUAACUUUAUUACACCAUGUUCUGUGAAAUGACCUCGUCAGUGUUUUUUCAUUGUUUAAUGCAAUUCUGUGAUUUUCUGUCAUGUGUCUCAGUUGCAGCAUUAUGUGGGAAACCCCCCUCUUCUGUUACCCCACCCCACCAGCUCAAUUUCCCUGUUGUUCUUUAUGAGAUGAUCAGCAUUUAAAAUCGUAAUGACAGACAGAUGCUGGAGUGAUAUAGUGCUUUCCAACACCCUUGCACAGUUCAGCCGCUCCUCCUCCCUCUAUUUUGCUGCUAAUGAAGCUGGUUUUCGCACAAGAGUAAUAGGAUUACCACACACUGCUCUGCCAAGGACAGAGACUGGAGGGGGAGACAGGAGGACAGGUUAAAGAGGGGGAUGAAGAGAGAGAGAGGAGCGGGAAAUCAGAGGCAAAUGAAGAGUACAAGCUGAACAGAAUGCGAUAUCUGUGCACACCCACCCUAAAGCCCCUCAGAGUAACAGGCCUGUGAUAUUUGAGGAGCGAGAGAGAGAAAAAAACCCUGCAUACUGGUAGCUAUAGAAUGACAUGAGGAGAUAAUUACACCGAAAGGCUAACCUGUCACCAUAGGGAGGAAAAGAGGGACACGGAGGACAGAAGAGAAGAAAAAGGAACUGCUCAACUCACAGGAGAAAAAAAGAAAGGAUGGAAAGGGUAAAAACAUGACAACGUACAUCAGCAAGCAAAACAGACGCACACCUUCACGCACAUAUCCACACUGCCAAAAUAACCGCAUAUCUGCUCAGUUUUAGAGUGUAAAAUACGUUCACGCGCACAUGAACAUAUGUACGCACAGACAAUGACGCACCCACGCGCUCUCAUUUACGCACUGAGUGAGCAGUGAACAUGAAAUCAGGGAGAAGAUUCAGAGGACAGAUAAACAUCACUAACCCAAACAAAAAAAAAAGGAAUUAAAAAAAAAUCACAUACAUACCAAGUCUUUUCUUUAAGAUCAUCGUUAUCACCAUGAAAGAUUUGUCCCUAAAUAAUGAAUAAUUAAAAAAUAUACAUUUCAUCAUAAUCUUCAUCGUAUGUUACUUUGGAUAGUUGAGGUUUUACCUUCAGAAACUGGGUUGCUAGGUGACCAGAGAAAGAGACAAAAGAAAACAGCUGAGGAUGUGUUAGUGUAGCUCUUUGGUUUAACUAGAUGUGUUUAAGUUCUUUGCUAUUUUAAAAAAAAUCUUUUCAAACACCUUUGGACUGAAGCUGGUUUUUUUUUUUUUUUUUUUUUUAAUGUAUAAUAUAUAUAGACAGAGAUAAAUCAGAAGUGAAAUGAGAACGAAAAGACUCAUACUUGUAGUUCUCUUGGUCAGGCCUUUUCAAAUACCAUGAUUUUUCUUUUUCUUUUUCACCCAUAUCCGAUUGUUACUAAUUAAUAAAGCGAAAACCGAUGUGAAUCAAACUCAAGGAUUGUGUGCAGACUUUAGGGAGCGUGUGUGUUUUGUUCGGUCCUCGAAUGGCGUGUUGCUUUGGUAUCAUUCUCUGGAGAUUCACGCCACUGAGAGACUUACACUUUGAACACGGUCCCUUGCUCUGCAGCUAUUUGCAUAUCAACAUCGUGAAGUUUUUAAGACGUCCGUAACUGCGCCUGACUGUAAUGGUAAGAACGAAAGCUAGAGAAAAUAUAAAGCGAGAUUAAAAUGUUUCUCCUUAUAUUACUUUUCAACAUCUCCUGCGGUUUAAGUCAUAAAAUUUGUCACCUAGCAACAACAGUCACCACCCGCUGUCAGUCACCUAUCUGACUUAUAUACAUACACAUGCACAUUAAGUGUGUGUAUAUAUUAAAAAGGUGUGUGUAUGUGUCCUGCCCUGUGUUUGGUGACUGGAAAAGUGGUCCCAAGGGCCAAGGGAGUGAACAUGCCAGCGCAUCAAUCAUAGUCAAGUUCCUUGAGUGCUUCCAUCUUCAUCCCUGGGGUCGGUUGCAUAAACUAAGACUAGUCUUAAAUUUUUUUUCUUUAAGACUGUUCAUAACUUUUUUAAAGUGAGUUACAUAAAAACGUAGAUUGGUCUAAUUUGAUACCGAUACAAGUAAGACUGCUAGUUGGUCAUACUAGCUCUUAAUGGCUAUGUUUAUACAACUGGCCCCUGAUCUUUCAUCGAAACAUUCCCUGUCCAAUCAGAAAACGCGUCCCCGGCCCCUACAGACAGAUGCAGCCCGCUUCUCUUGUUUUAAAGCAUUCAUCUAUUUGGUUUGUUGUUAAGAGAGUGAGGUAUAUGAGGAACUAUCUCUCUUCUACACCUCCUAACCAGGAGACAGAACAACAGACACACUAUGAAAUAAAUACAAAACAAAGCAGGAAAAGAAGUAGGACAAACAGGAGGAGGAGUGAGGCAGAGAGGAAGAUGGAGCACUGAUACAUUUCCGCUAUCAUACAAUACAUACAUUUUGCUGUAUUUUCCCUCCAGGAACCCCAAAUGCCUCCAUCUUUUCUCUCCUAAAGUUUUUGGUUUUGUAGCUGUUUAAAGCUUUCAGGUCAAGGCUCACGGCAGCACUGCGCUCAACGCUGUCACACACACACACACACGGUAGCCAUCACGACAGUAACCAUAGCAACACGAUCUGUAACAUCAGCAGUGGUGAGACAGGUACGUUCAGAUACAAUGCAGGUUCCUAUAAAACCGUAUCCCUUCUAAGCCAUGGCAGUGCGUGCUUUUACUCUGGAAGGUUACUUCAGCGUUGAAUGAAUGCUACCGAAACAUUUGAGCAGAAGAACCACAGUGCUGCUUUUUCCCCUGAUAGGUUUCCCUCCAUAGGCUCUGUCCAGUAAGGAACAGCUAAGAGGUCGAGAAGACAAGUGUCCGCCCCUAUGCUGUCGAAUAGUGGCCGGUCCAUUAGGACCGACGGUUGCAUUUGUCGAUGGAUUUGGUUUGAAAGGUCGCCUUGGCAAAGGAAGUUUACAUUUGAAUACAAUCUGGUGCCUCAAACACACCCACUACAAAACAGCAUUUGGAAUAUAUUAAAUAAAUAAUAAUAUUAAUCAUAAAAAAGGUCUGUUAAGAAAAUUCACAAACGAGCAAGAGGAGAAUAAAUAACAAAAUCAAUUUCUUUAAAAUGGGGGAGGAAGAAAACACAAAAACCCAAAAGAGAGAUAGUGUGAAUUUUUGGUCUAAGUAAAUAUCAACAUUUUUUUAUCUUUUCACAAUGUUUUUCUUCCAUACAUUAGCAAUUAGUAAGCAUUAUAACAUAGAUCAUUUACUACAAAAUCUAUAGAAGCACUAACUGACCCAUUCGGACUAUACGGUAAGUUCAUGUAUCCAUCCCUCGUUGAACCUGCAGCGCUCAUCGACUACAGAUUUCAGCACGAUAUAAAUACAACGGUAAGGUGGAUGAAAGCAUGUAAGUUGUUGCUUAUGUGAUAUUUGGUUCUCUUUAAAGCUUGUUUAUACUUGACUUUGGUUCUUUGGAUGUACUUGAGCGUGUUUAGCCUGGUUUCUUAUCUGUUGAACUGAAUUUUCACAGUAUUGUUUCAACCACCUGAUUAGAGUCUCUAACACAACUAGAUAGGAACAAGUAAGGAACGUAAAAAAAUGAGAUUUCCGCAAAUACGUGAAUACCUUUUCCCCAAAUGAAAGCACACAAAUCUACACACACAGCCCCACAAACAGACAGACAGAACGAAAGACCAAAAGUAACAACCCUCCCAACCCCCAAACGAACCCGAAUCAUCUUCAGAUGAGUCCAGUGAGGUCAUCAAAGAUCCCGCCACCCAGGACCAGGAACAGUUUGAAUGACAGGAGGCGGAGCGGAUCCCUUGCUACACGGUUCUGGGUGACCUCGGUCCAGAGAUGCAUGAAGGGAUGUCGUUUUUCUGUACAGUGACUCGUUUUACUCCAUCAAUUUUUGGCUUGAUUUGUUUUUGGUUUUCCUUUCUGGGAAGUUCGGCUGGCUGUGAAGUUUCGCUUCAUUUUUUGGCUUGUAGA